GUGAGGCAGUCCAGGUUGCAGGAUUGGUUUACAUCCUAGAAUGCAAGAAGCACUUUUGAGCACAGCGUCAGAAGCAUGGCGAAAGCACUACCACCACCACUGCUGAGAGAUCAGCUUCUGUUGAAAAGAAAAAACAUUUAGUUCAGGUACCUCCUAAUCCACAUGCUGAUACCAAAACCAAGGAGAGAUAAGCUCUGGAAGGCCUCAUUGUCUUCAUCUGGUGUUGAUCUAUGAACUUUCCAAGUGGAAAUGGUUUAGAGUCUCUACGCCAUAGCUAGGGAAUAAGAACAAGCAAGAGCAGAUGGGAGCAACACAAGUACAGGAGUCUUAGCACCUGAAUUAGCCACAGCUGUCACUGCAACAGCUGAAUGCUUUUCACCUUGCAAUGAAGAUGUUACUGGCACCACUGAGGCUGGACAAAGAUGAAGACAAACCAUGCUACAGAUGACCAAAGGGAAUUCUGCUUUUCCAAAACAUGCUGGAAUUAGAUCUGAAGUACAGCUCUGCAGUGUAGAAUGGAUUGUAGCAGUUUAGAAUAAAGCAGCCACACAGUGCUUUUCAUUGUCAUUUGUGCUUCCUGCCAGGCCUAUCAAAAUUAUUUAGAAACUUUGCAGAGGUUUGUGGUUGACACAGAAAUUCAGAGUUUCUAAGGAAGGGGGAGGGGAGACUGAAGUGAGGCCUUGUGGGCUAAAUAGAACCACAACAUUCUACGCUGCAUUUGACUACCACAGCCCUGAAAAAAGGAGCUUUGUCCCACAAUGGUUACAGGCCCGAAUGCACAGCCUUGAUUUGACUAGCUAAGACUGAGAUUGAUCCUGCAGUCUCCACCAUAGCAUA
This is a non-coding RNA of Pelodiscus sinensis (Chinese soft-shelled turtle), 837 nucleotides long. The record is from RefSeq and is a predicted model, not a curated record. NCBI's taxonomy places the organism in Eukaryota, Metazoa, Chordata, Testudines, Trionychidae.